This 481-nucleotide ribosomal RNA is filed under the name uncultured bacterium. RNAcentral's name for it is "partial 16S ribosomal RNA". It matches the Rfam family "Bacterial small subunit ribosomal RNA", at positions 30 to 507 of the family's 1533-position model. The record is from RNAcentral.
AUUGAACGCUGGCGGCAUGCCUUACACAUGCAAGUCGAACGGUAACAGGUCUUCGGAUGCUGACGAGUGGCGAACGGGUGAGUAAUACAUCGGAACGUGCCUAGUAGUGGGGGAUAACUACUCGAAAGAGUGGCUAAUACCGCAUGAGAUCUACGGAUGAAAGCAGGGGAUCGCAAGACCUUGUGCUACUAGAGCGGCCGAUGGCAGAUUAGGUAGUUGGUGGGAUAAAAGCUUACCAAGCCGACGAUCUGUAGCUGGUCUGAGAGGACGAUCAGCCACACGGGGACGAGGACACGGCCCGGACUCCUACGGGAGGCGGCAGUGGGAAAUUUUGGACAAUGGGCGCAAGCCUGAUCAGGCAAUGCCGCGUGAAGAAUGAAGGCCUUCGGGUUGUAAACUGCUUUUGUACGGAACGAAAAGCCCUGGGUUAAUACCCGGGGGUCAGAACGGUACCGUAAGAAUAGCACCGGCUAACUACGUG